CCUACGGGGGGCAGCAGUGAGGAAUAUUGGUCAAUGGCCGUAAGGCUGAACCAGCCACGUAGCGUGAGGGAAGACUGCCCUAUGGGUUGUAAACCUCUUUUAUGCGGGGAUCAAGGUGUCCACGUGUGGAUGUUUGCAGGUACCGCAUGAAUAAGGACCGGCUAAUUCCGUGCCAGCAGCCGCGGUAAUACGGAAGGUCCGGGCAUUAUCCGGAUUUAUUGGGUGUAAAGGGAGCUUAGGCCGGUCUUUAAGCGUGCCGGGAAAUUUUGUGGCUCAACCAAGAGAGUGCGGGGCGAACGGGAGACCUUGAGUGCGCGGAAGGCAAGUGGAAUUCGUGGGGUAGCGGUGAAAUGCUUAGAUA
This 361-nucleotide ribosomal RNA is filed under the name uncultured bacterium. RNAcentral describes it as "partial 16S ribosomal RNA". It matches the Rfam family "Bacterial small subunit ribosomal RNA", at positions 338 to 696 of the family's 1533-position model. The record is from RNAcentral.